RNAcentral lists this long non-coding RNA (1043 nucleotides) under Bos indicus x Bos taurus (hybrid cattle). Its description in RNAcentral is "lncRNA (ENSBIXG00005000421.1)". Lineage: Eukaryota; Metazoa; Chordata; Mammalia; Artiodactyla; Bovidae. The record is from RNAcentral.
AGGGCAACUAAGCCCGUGAGCCACAACUACUUAGGCCUGUGCACAAAGAGCCUGUGCUCUGCAACGAGAGAGGCCACCAAACGAGAAGCCCACACCCCAGAGCUGGAGGGUAACUCCUGUUCCCGGCAACUACAGAAAAGCCCACACACAGCGACGAAGACCCAGCACAGCCACAAAAAAGUUAAUUAUGGCUUUGUGGCCAUAGAUAACUGCAGCAGCAGGAAGAGCUGGAAACUAGGAGGUAUUCUGACACAUCUGGGGAGUAUUAGAGACGAUGGAGGUGGCAGGUGCCAGUAUGUUUUCCCACAGAGGUCAUUUAUUCCCAGAACAUUGUGUAAUUUCAGUGUACUAACAACUCUUGAGGUAAGUAUUAAUGCCAUACUUCUGAACCCUUGUUUUAUUUUAGAAUUACCUUGGAGCUUUAAGAACUGUGUAUGGGCUUCCUCUCAAAGACUGUGAUUAUAUUUAUCUCAGAGGUCCAGUGAUCUUUAUUUUUAACAGUGUCAUAUAGAAUUGCUACUCAUUGUGAAGCCCAUGGACUGAGGAGGGGCAUUACCUGGGUGCUGAUUAGAAUGCAGAAGCAAGCCUACUGUAUCGAAAUCAGUGUUUUACAAGCACUCCUAGGAGAUUUUUCAGGGAUAUUAAAUUUAAGAAGCGUUGCCCUAGAUCCUUAAGUGCAGUUCUGGCUGAAAACUACUGACUUAACUGGUGAAGAAGGUGAGAGGCUCAUGGCACCUUCAGUGACAACAUCCCCAAGUCCUGGUUUGGGAUCGCUAGUCACACUCUUAAUACAGAUGUGAUCCCUAGUCACACAAAUGGGGUCCAGCUCUUUUGCCAGGGAAACAAAACUCUGAGAAUCCAGGUGUCUCUUCCCAGUGUUUUGCCUCUAUGUAAUAUCCAGGUGAAAACCUGCUGACGUAGCUGGAUCAGCCAGCAUCAAGGGGUGAAAUCCCAGCUGUUGGAUUCAGUUAUGUCUUUAAUGAAAGAGCUUCCCACAAGUAAUGAUGCUCCUCCUCUGCUUUUUUGUCCACUUUGAGGUGCAC